AGAACGAACGCUGGCGGCAGGCUUAACACAUGCAAGUCGAACGCUCGUAGCAAUACGGGAGUGGCAGACGGGUGAGUAACGCGUGGGAACAUACCCUCCGGUUCGGAAUAGCUCAGGGAAACUUGGAUUAAUACCGGAUACGGCUGAGAGGCGAAAGAUUUAUCGCCGGAGGAUUGGCCCGCGUUCGAUUAGCUUGUUGGUGAGGUAACGGCUCACCAAGGCGAUGAUCGAUAGCUGGUCUGAGAGGAUGAUCAGCCACAUUGGGACUGAGACACGGCCCAAACUCCUACGGGAGGCAGCAGUGGGAAUAUUGGACAAUGGGCGCAAGCCUGAUCCAGCCAUGCCGCGUGAGUGAUGACGGCUUAGGGUUGUAAAGCUCUUUCGCUCGGGACGAUAAUGACGGUACCGAGAUAAGACGCCCCGGCUAACUUCGUGCCAGCAGCCGC
RNAcentral lists this ribosomal RNA (446 nucleotides) under uncultured bacterium. RNAcentral describes it as "SSU rRNA". It matches the Rfam family "Bacterial small subunit ribosomal RNA", at positions 26 to 518 of the family's 1533-position model. The record is from RNAcentral.